AUUGAACGCUGGCGGCAUGCUUUACACAUGCAAGUCGAACGGUAACAGGCCUUCGGGUGCUGACGAGUGGCGUACGGGUGAGUAAUGCAUCGGAACGUACCCAGAGGUGGGGGAUAACGCAGCGAAAGCUGUGCUAAUACCGCAUGUGAUCUGAGGAUGAAAGCGGGGGACCGAGCAGCAAUGUUUGGCCUCGCGCCUUUGGAGCGGCCGAUGUCGGAUUAGCUAGUUGGUGGGGUAAAGGCCUACCAAGGCGACGAUCCGUAGCUGGUCUGAGAGGACGACCAGCCACACUGGGACUGAGACACGGCCCAGACUCCUACGGGAGGCAGCAGUGGGGAAUUUUGGACAAUGGGCGCAAGCCUGGUCCAGCAAUGCCGCGUGCGGGAAGAAGGCCUUCGGGUUGUAAACCGCUUUUGGCAGGAACGAAACGGUGUCCGCUAAUACCGGGCGCUAAUGACGGUACCUGCAGAAUAAGCACCGGCUAACUACGUG
RNAcentral lists this ribosomal RNA (492 nucleotides) under uncultured bacterium. RNAcentral's name for it is "partial 16S ribosomal RNA". It matches the Rfam family "Bacterial small subunit ribosomal RNA", at positions 29 to 507 of the family's 1533-position model. The record is from RNAcentral.